This 1435-nucleotide ribosomal RNA is filed under the name uncultured organism. Its description in RNAcentral is "SSU rRNA". It matches the Rfam family "Bacterial small subunit ribosomal RNA". The record is from RNAcentral.
GAACGCUAGCGACAGGCUUAACACAUGCAAGUCGAGGGGCAGCACAGGUAGCAAUACCGGGUGGCGACCGGCGCACGGGUGAGUAACGCGUAUGCAACUUACCUAUCAGAGGGGGAUAACCCGGCGAAAGUCGGACUAAUACCGCAUGAAGCAGGGGCCCCGCAUGGGGAUAUUUGCUAAAGAUUCAUCGCUGAUAGAUAGGCAUGCGUUCCAUUAGGCAGUUGGCGGGGUAACGGCCCACCAAACCGACGAUGGAUAGGGGUUCUGAGAGGAAGGUCCCCCACAUUGGUACUGAGACACGGACCAAACUCCUACGGGAGGCAGCAGUGAGGAAUAUUGGUCAAUGGCCGAGAGGCUGAACCAGCCAAGUCGCGUGAGGGAUGAAGGUUCUAUGGAUCGUAAACCUCUUUUAUAAGGGAAUAAAGUGCGGGACGUGUCCCGUUUUGUAUGUACCUUAUGAAUAAGGAUCGGCUAACUCCGUGCCAGCAGCCGCGGUAAUACGGAGGAUCCGAGCGUUAUCCGGAUUUAUUGGGUUUAAAGGGUGCGUAGGCGGCCUUUUAAGUCAGCGGUGAAAGUCUGUGGCUCAACCAUAGAAUUGCCGUUGAAACUGGGGGGCUUGAGUAUGUUUGAGGCAGGCGGAAUGCGUGGUGUAGCGGUGAAAUGCAUAGAUAUCACGCAGAACCCCGAUUGCGAAGGCAGCCUGCCAAGCCAUUACUGACGCUGAUGCACGAAAGCGUGGGGAUCAAACAGGAUUAGAUACCCUGGUAGUCCACGCAGUAAACGAUGAUCACUAACUGUUUUGCGAUACCCGUUAAGCGGCACAGCGAAAGCGUUAAGUGAUCCACCUGGGGAGUACGCCCGGCAACGGUGAAACUCAAAGGAAUUGACGGGGGCCCGCACAAGCGGAGGAACAUGUGGUUUAAUUCGAUGAUACGCGAGGAACCUUACCCGGGUUUGAACGCAUUCGGACCGAGGUGGAAACACCUUUUCUAGCAAUAGCCGUUUGCGAGGUGCUGCAUGGUUGUCGUCAGCUCGUGCCGUGAGGUGUCGGCUUAAGUGCCAUAACGAGCGCAACCCUUGCCACUAGUUACUAACAGGUAAAGCUGAGGACUCUGGUGGGACUGCCAGCGUAAGCUGCGAGGAAGGCGGGGAUGACGUCAAAUCAGCACGGCCCUUACAUCCGGGGCGACACACGUGUUACAAUGGCGUGGACAAAGGGAAGCCACCUGGCGACAGGGAGCGAAUCCCCAAACCACGUCUCAGUUCGGAUCGGAGUCUGCAACCCGACUCCGUGAAGCUGGAUUCGCUAGUAAUCGCGCAUCAGCCAUGGCGCGGUGAAUACGUUCCCGGGCCUUGUACACACCGCCCGUCAAGCCAUGGGAGCCGGGGGUACCUGAAGUCCGUAACCGCGAGGAUCGGCCUAGGGUAAAACUGG